This is a non-coding RNA of Gammaproteobacteria bacterium, 89 nucleotides long. Lineage: Bacteria; Pseudomonadati; Pseudomonadota; Gammaproteobacteria. The record is from Rfam.
GCCCGGGUGGCGAAAUUGGUAGACGCAAGGGACUUAAAAUCCCUCGGUAGGCUUAACCCUCCGUGCCGGUUCGAGUCCGGCCCCGGGCA